CGCCUGGGGAGUACGGCCGCAAGGCUAAAACUCGAAGGAAUUGACGGGGGCCCGCACAAGCGGCGGAGCAUGCGGAUUAAUUCGAUGCAACGCGAAGAACCUUACCAAGGCUUGACAUACACCGGACCGGGCCAGAGAUGGUCUUUCCCCCUUGUGGGGCUGGUGUACAGGUGGUGCAUGGUUGUCGUCAGCUCGUGUCGUGAGAUGUUGGGUUAAGUCCCGCAACGAGCGCAACCCUCGUUCUAUGUUGCCAGCACGUGAUGGUGGGGACUCAUAGGAGACUGCCGGGGUCAACUCGGAGGAAGGUGGGGAUGACGUCAAAUCAUCAUGCCCCUUAUGUCUUGGGCUCCACGCAUGCUACAAUGGCCAGUACAAUGGGUUGCGAUGCCGCGAGGUGGAGCUAAUCCCAAAAAGCUGGUCCCAGUUCGGAUCGUGGUCUGCAACUCGACCACGUGAAGUCGGAGUCGCUAGUAAUCGCAGAUCAGCAACGCUGCGGUGAAUACGUUCCCGGGCCUUGUACACACCGCCCGUCAAGUCACGGAAGUUGGUAACACCCGAAGCCGGUGGCCUAACCCUUGUGGGGGGAGCCGUCGAAGGUGGGACUGGCGAUUGGGACUAAGUCGUAACAAGGUAACCGUA
This 639-nucleotide ribosomal RNA is filed under the name uncultured Kocuria sp. Its description in RNAcentral is "bacterial SSU rRNA". It matches the Rfam family "Bacterial small subunit ribosomal RNA", at positions 870 to 1504 of the family's 1533-position model. The record is from RNAcentral. Lineage: Bacteria; Bacillati; Actinomycetota; Actinomycetes; Micrococcales; Micrococcaceae.